RNAcentral lists this ribosomal RNA (427 nucleotides) under uncultured bacterium. RNAcentral describes it as "partial 16S ribosomal RNA". It matches the Rfam family "Bacterial small subunit ribosomal RNA", at positions 355 to 774 of the family's 1533-position model. The record is from RNAcentral. RNAcentral also lists the same sequence under 1 other name.
UGGGGAAUAUUGCACAAUGGGCGCAAGCCUGAUGCAGCCAUGCCGCGUGUGUGAAGAAGGCCUUCGGGUUGUAAAGCACUUUCAGCGAGGAGGAAGGUGGUGAACUUAAUACGUUCAUCAAUUGACGUUACUCGCAGAAGAAGCACCGGCUAACUCCGUGCCAGCAGCCGCGGUAAUACGGAGGGUGCAAGCGUUAAUCGGAAUUACUGGGCGUAAAGCGCACGCAGGCGGUUUGUUAAGUCAGAUGUGAAAUCCCCGGGCUCAACCUGGGAACUGCAUUUGAAACUGGCAAGCUAGAGUCUCGUAGAGGGGGGUAGAAUUCCAGGUGUAGCGGUGAAAUGCGUAGAGAUCUGGAGGAAUACCGGUGGCGAAGGCGGCCCCCUGGACGAAGACUGACGCUCAGGUGCGAAAGCGUGGGGAGCAAACA